Molecule: unclassified non-coding RNA, 267 nt
Filed under: Ascomycota sp.
Lineage: Eukaryota; Fungi; Ascomycota
Description: partial contains small subunit ribosomal RNA, internal transcribed spacer 1, and 5.8S ribosomal RNA
Rfam family: Eukaryotic small subunit ribosomal RNA (bases 1-47)
Source: RNAcentral
AAAGUCGUAACAAGGUUUCCGUAGGUGAACCUGCGGAAGGAUCAUUAAACCUUAUACUUCGGGGGGCCGGCGUUGAAUAGCAGUUCCAUUGCGGAUCAGCUCUUCUCCCCGCCCUGUCUGAACAUUACCCAUGCUUUUUGCGUACCCAUUGUUUCCUCGGCAGGCUUGCCUGCCAGCAGGACCCCUUUAAAACCUUUUGCAAUUGCAGUCAGCGUCAGAAAAAAAACUUAAUAGUUACAACUUUCAACAACGGAUCUCUUGGUUCUG